UUUUAAUAUUAUUUAUGUAUAGAUGUGUAUAUGUAUAGGUGUUGUGUGUGCAUGUGCUUUGUGUUUUGUGGAAAUGCCGUGUGUAUAAGUUGAGUGUGUUGGGUUUGUGGUGAGUUUCCAAGUGUCCAAAUAUUUAUAAUUGCUAUCUACACCCCCUUGUUUCCUAUAUUGCAAGUAAGUCCCUCUACUCUCCUAUAAAUAGCAUCUUCCUCUCCUCCAUUUUCAGCACAAAAACACAAGCCAAAAUCCCUCAUUCUCUCCCCUCUAUUUCGUCCAAACACUCCCCAAAUGGAAGAGUUCAUCUUCCACUUCAAAGCCUUCAAGAUUCUUUAUAAAAGUCCCUAUUUUCUCUUCUAAAAUCCCCUCAAAAUGCCUCUCUCUCCCUAAAUUCGAGAUUGCUAAAUACACUCAAAGAAACAACCAUAUAAUCUCUCAAAACUCAUCUCCAAAGCAAUCCAAUACCACCCAUGUCAAGCCCAAAGACUUCCAAGCUAAAACUCCAUGGAUCCUUGGUUUCUUCUCCUUCUUAGCCUUUGAUUUUCAUGGGUUCUCGAAGUAAUCAGAGCAGCGCAGCGGAGCGGAGUUCGAGGAAUCACGAACCUUGAUGCCUUGCACGUCUUACCCGGAUUUCGUAAAAUAUCAUGUUUCCACUUUCGUCUAUAAAAAGGUCUUAUGUACAAAAAUGGAGAUUUUCAUGAUUAUAUUUUACUCUGAUUUAGGAAUCCAGUCUAUUAAACGGGGGUAUUUAAAU
Long non-coding RNA from Erythranthe guttata (spotted monkey flower), 751 nucleotides. RefSeq lists it as uncharacterized. The record is from RefSeq and is a predicted model, not a curated record. Lineage: Eukaryota; Viridiplantae; Streptophyta; Magnoliopsida; Lamiales; Phrymaceae.